UCCUCCCCUGCAUACCUGGUCUUGCUCUGUGCUUCUGGUCCUCCAGGUAAGCAAUCACCUUCUUAGGAUCCGGGCUGUCGGCAUACCUGGGAACCCCUGGAGACGACGUACCAGUACGGGAUCUCAGCCCACAGCUCGGGGUGCUGCAGCACCACCUGCUGGUCGCCAUAGGAAACAACGAGCUGCUGACCUCUGGACCAGCAGGACCGCAGAGUGGGGACGUCCUGCAGGACAGGUGUUAUUUGGGGCUCGCUUACCUGCGUGGUGGCCCAGCGGGAGACGCAGGGUCGAGUCCAGCAGGGGACCA
Molecule: long non-coding RNA, 307 nt
Organism: Pseudoliparis swirei
Lineage: Eukaryota; Metazoa; Chordata; Actinopteri; Perciformes; Liparidae
Exons: 3
Source: RefSeq, a predicted model, not a curated record